AGAAUCAACGCUGGCGGCGUGCCUAACACAUGCAAGUCGAGCGCGAAAGGGGGGCAACUCCCCAAGUAGAGCGGCGAACGGGUGAGUAACGCGUGGGUAAUCUACCUCCGAGUGGGGAAUAACAGCGGGAAACUGCUGCUAAUACCGCAUGACAUCGUCGAGCCUUCGGGCCAGACGAUCAAAGCCGGGGACCGCAAGGCCUGGCGCUUGGAGAGGAGCCCGCGUCCGAUUAGCUAGUUGGCGGGGUAAUGGCCCACCAAGGCUCCGAU
RNAcentral lists this ribosomal RNA (269 nucleotides) under uncultured soil bacterium. Its description in RNAcentral is "partial 16S ribosomal RNA". It matches the Rfam family "Bacterial small subunit ribosomal RNA", at positions 26 to 280 of the family's 1533-position model. The record is from RNAcentral.